Myotis davidii is the source of this 242-nucleotide long non-coding RNA. RefSeq lists it as uncharacterized. The transcript is spliced from 3 exons. The record is from RefSeq and is a predicted model, not a curated record. NCBI's taxonomy places the organism in Eukaryota, Metazoa, Chordata, Mammalia, Chiroptera, Vespertilionidae.
CAACUGUGCCACCGUCCUGUUGACCAGGUCCUGUCUCUGGGAAUCAGAAGUCACUGGAGUGAAGGACCCCCCCAUGCCCUUUUACAUUCAGGAAUUGAGCUGAACUCACUUUGGGGGAGGCCUGGCAAAGGUGACAGGUGUCACAGAUGGAAGGAUAGAGAAUGGAGAGGCAGACACCCUGCUCGGUCCCUCCCUGGGUGGGGUCAGGCAGAUGAAGGCCAGCCAGCCUGCCCCACAAUUGG